Molecule: ribosomal RNA, 514 nt
Filed under: uncultured bacterium
Lineage: Bacteria
Description: partial 16S ribosomal RNA
Rfam family: Bacterial small subunit ribosomal RNA
Source: RNAcentral
GAUGAACGCUGGCGGCGUGCCUAAUACAUGCAAGUCGAACGCGAGAGGAGAGAGCUUGCUCCCUCUGAUCGAGCGGCGGACGGGUGAGUAACACGUAGGCAACCUGCCCAUCAGCCGGGGAUAACUGCGGGAAACCGUGGCUAAUACCGGAUAAUCCUCUCCACCGCGGGGUGGGGAGUUGAAAGACGGUUUCGGCUGUCGCUGAUGGAUGGGCCUGCGGCGCAUUAGCUGGUUGGCGGGGUAACGGCCCACCAAGGCAACGAUGCGUAGCCGACCUGAGAGGGUGAUCGGCCACACUGGGACUGAGACACGGCCCAGACUCCUACGGGAGGCAGCAGUAGGGAAUCUUCCGCAAUGGACGCAAGUCUGACGGAGCAACGCCGCGUGAGUGAAGAAGGGUUUCGGCUCGUAAAACUCUGUUGUUAAGGAAGAACGCCAGGUAGAGUAACUGCUACCUGUGUGGCGGUACUUAACCAGAAAGCCACGGCUAACUACGUGCCAGCCGCCGCAGUAA